CCUACGGGGGGCAGCAGUGGGGAAUAUUGGACAAUGGGGGCAACCCUGAUCCAGCCAUGCCGCGUGAGUGAAGAAGGCCUUAGGGUUGUAAAGCUCUUUCGCCCGUGAAGAUGAUGACGGUAGCGGGAGAGGAAGCCCCGGCUAACUCCGUGCCAGCAGCCGCGGU
This 166-nucleotide ribosomal RNA is filed under the name uncultured bacterium. Its description in RNAcentral is "partial 16S ribosomal RNA". It matches the Rfam family "Bacterial small subunit ribosomal RNA", at positions 338 to 521 of the family's 1533-position model. The record is from RNAcentral.